GGCUAGAGGGUGCUAGUUAAUUGGGUGGCAAAGGAUUUCAAGAUGAGAGAAAAUUACAAAAUGGCAUUGGGGACUUCUCCCUAGCUGAGGACCACCAACUGUUUCAUUUUAAAUCAGAGGAGGAAUGUGAUGCCAUUCUUCACAGUGGUCCCUAGUCAUCAUCGGUCAGCUACUAGCCAUGGAAUUGUGGGUGUCGGACUUUAUUUGGGGCACGAACAUGGUGAAAAGAAUGGUGGUAUGAAUGAGACUUUUGGGCCUUCCAAUCAAGUUUUGGAGUACCCAAAGACUGUGGGACAUCCUAGGAGGCUAGCAAACCCUUGGCGAUCAACGAUUUCACCGACCAACUCUAGAAGCUUGGUUUUGCUAGUGCUCGAAUGGAGAUCGAUGCCACCAAAUAGUUGAAAAUAGGUGCUUUCAUUAGGGAGAAAAACAAUGUGUUUUGGUAAACCCUUAUUUACUAAAACUUAUUUCCAUCUGCUACUGGUGUGAGAGGAUCAAGCACUCCAAUGAUAGCUACAGCCUCCCUCUAGGCAAUCACCCUUUGAAUGGUGGCGACCAUCCUCUCUGAUCGAAAAAUAUUAUCGAAGUCAGCCCAACCUAUAUGGAGGAAGUUGUUGAACAAGGGCCGGAGGCUGCCGACGAGGAGGGACUAGCCAUGUUGGCUUAGCCUUGGCUUGGCCCCCG
Molecule: long non-coding RNA, 684 nt
Filed under: Elaeis guineensis (African oil palm)
Lineage: Eukaryota; Viridiplantae; Streptophyta; Magnoliopsida; Arecales; Arecaceae
Description: long non-coding RNA (EGUI_LNC017460)
Source: RNAcentral